RNAcentral lists this ribosomal RNA (520 nucleotides) under uncultured bacterium. RNAcentral describes it as "bacterial SSU rRNA". It matches the Rfam family "Bacterial small subunit ribosomal RNA", at positions 26 to 518 of the family's 1533-position model. The record is from RNAcentral.
AGGACGAACGCUGGCGGCGUGCCUAAUACAUGCAAGUCGAACGGUCUUUCUAUGGAAGCUUGCUUCCACUGAGAAGAUAGUGGCGAACGGGUGAGUAACACGUGGGUAACCUGCCCAUAAGAGGGGGAUAACAUCCGGAAACGGGUGCUAAUACCGCAUAGUUUUCUUGAUCGCAUGAUUGAGAAAGGAAAGACGGCCUUUGUGCUGUCGCUUAUGGAUGGACCCGCGGCGUAUUAGUUAGUUGGUGAGGUAACGGCUCACCAAGACGAUGAUACGUAGCCGACCUGAGAGGGUGAUCGGCCACAUUGGGACUGAGACACGGCCCAAACUCCUACGGGAGGCAGCAGUAGGGAAUCUUCCGCAAUGGACGAAAGUCUGACGGAGCAACGCCGCGUGAGUGAAGAAAGGUUUUUCGGAUCGUAAAACUCUGUUGUCAGAGAAGAACAAGUUGGAGAGUAACUGCUCCAGCCUUGACGGUAUCUGACCAGAAAGCCACGGCUAACUACGUGCCAGCAGCGGC